RNAcentral lists this long non-coding RNA (502 nucleotides) under Homo sapiens (human). RNAcentral describes it as "HSALNT0025537". The record is from RNAcentral. Lineage: Eukaryota; Metazoa; Chordata; Mammalia; Primates; Hominidae.
GGACAAUGCUGUGAGGCUCUGUGGUUUCGUGGAGCAAAACCCCACACAUCCCCAUGAGCAAGCCAGGGUCCUCCUACACACCAGACUCCUCAGAAACCAGAGUCGCAUGGGGUGAGGAGCCCAGGGACCGUGGCUGGACUGCAGGGUGGACCCAGCUUCCCCUCUACCUGCUAUUCCUCUGUUUACUGCACAUAAAAAUAGAUGCGACAGAAUCUUACUAUGUUGCCCAGGCUGGAGUGCAGUAGAUUUUUACAGGUGUGGGGAAACUGUCAACACCCUCGCCUCUGCAGGAGGUAUGGCCAUGUAACGCAUUGGGCCAAAUGACUGGGACAGGCAGCAAAACCAGUGUGCACUUUUCCGUGUUCUCUUCAUUUGGGUAACCAGUUCCUGCCUGUGGAAAUUUACCUUCCAAUACUCAAAAUAAAUGAAUAUCAUUUUCUGAAAGUUAAAACUCCUUUAUGACUUCCUUUGUUUUCAAAUGUACAUUAGGAUUUCAUUUCAC